AUUGAACGCUGGCGGCAGGCCUAGCACAUGCAAGCCGAACGGUAGCACAGAGAGCUUGCUCUCGGGCGACGAGUGGCGGACGGGUGAGUAACGUCUGGGAAACUGCCCGAUGGAGGGGGAUAACUACUGGAAACGGUAGCUAAUACCGCAUAACGUCGCAAGACCAAAGUGGGGGACCUUCGGGCCUCACACCAUCGGAUGUGCCCAGAUGGGAUUAGCUAGUAGGUGGGGUAAUGGCUCACCUAGGCGACGAUCCCUAGCUGGUCUGAGAGGAUGACCAGCCACACGGGAACUGAGACACGGUCCAGACUCCUACGGGAGGCAGCAGUGGGGAAUAUUGCAUAAUGGGCGCAAGCCUGAUGCAGCCAUGCCGCGUGUAUGAAGAAGGCCUUCGGGUUGUAAAGUACUUUCAGCGGGGAGGAAGGCGGUGAAGUUAAUAGCUUCACCGAUUGACGUUACCCGCAGAAGAAGCACCGGCUAACUCCGUGCCAGCCGCCGCCGUAA
Molecule: ribosomal RNA, 504 nt
Filed under: uncultured bacterium
Lineage: Bacteria
Description: partial 16S ribosomal RNA
Rfam family: Bacterial small subunit ribosomal RNA
Source: RNAcentral